Molecule: ribosomal RNA, 507 nt
Filed under: uncultured bacterium
Lineage: Bacteria
Description: bacterial SSU rRNA
Rfam family: Bacterial small subunit ribosomal RNA
Source: RNAcentral
UGGCGGCGUGCUUAACACAAUGCAAGUCGAACGGAGAUUCGGCAAUGGAUCUUAGUGGCGAACGGGUGAGUAACGCGUAGGCAAUCGUGCCUUCUAGGAUGGGGACAACAUCCCGAAAGGGGUGCUAAUACCGUAAUGGUUGUAGUUGGUUACGCAUGGACUAGCUACUAAAGGUGGCCUACUGAAGUAUGCUACCGCUAGAAGAUGAGCCUGCGUCUGAUUAGCUAGUUGGAGGGGUAACGGCCCACCAAGGCUUCGAUCAGUAGCCGGUCUGAGAGGAUGAACGGCCACACUGGGACUGAGACACGGCCCAGACUCCUACGGGAGGCAGCAGUGGGAAUCUUCCGCAAUGGACGAAAGUCUGACGGAGCAACGCCGCGUGAAGUGAAGAAGGUUUUCGGAUCGUAAAGCUCUUUCGUCAGGGUACGAACGUAUUUCUUGUAAAUAAUGAGAGAUAGUGACGGUACCUGAAUAAGAAGCCACGGCUAACUACGUGCCAGCCGCCGC